AUGAGUACACUUUAAAUCCUUUAACAAGGAUCCAUUGGAGGGCAAGUCUGGUGCCAGCAGCCGCGGUAAUUCCAGCUCCAAUAGCGUAUAUUAAAGUUGUUGCGGUUAAAAAGCUCGUAGUUGGUUCUGCGUGCCGCGCUGUCGGUUCGCCGCCUGUCGGUGUAACUGGCAUGUCGCGGCAUGUCCUGUCGGUGGUGAACGGGAUUCCCGGUGCAGCGUAGGCUUUUAGCCGAAGUUUGUGCCGUGUGAAGUCCGUUUACCGAUCUCUCCUACUCCGGUGCUCUUAAACGAGUGUCGAGGUAGGCCGACACGUUCACUUUGAACAAAUUAGAGUGCUUAAAGCAGGCUGAAAUAUCUGCCUGAAUAGUGGUGCAUGGAAUGAUAAAAUAGGACCUCGGUUCUAUUUUGUUGGUUUUAGGAAUGUGAGGUAAUGAUCAAUGUGGACUGGCGGGGGCAUUCGUAUUGCGACGUUAGAGGUGAAAUUCUUGGAUCGUCGCAAGACGCACUAAAGCGAAAGCAUUUGCCAAGUAUGUCUUAAUUGAUCAAGAACGAAAGUUAGAGGUUCGAAGGCGAUCAGAUACCGCCCUAGUUCUAACCAUAAACGAUGCCAGCCAGCGAUCCGCCGAUGUUCCAUUAAUGACUCGGCGGGGAGCUUCUACCCGGGAAACCAAAGCUUUUGGGUUCCGGGGGAAGUAUGGUUGCAAAGCUGAAACUUAAAGGAAUUGACG
RNAcentral lists this ribosomal RNA (728 nucleotides) under Tiarodes sp. 00052206. RNAcentral's name for it is "SSU rRNA". It matches the Rfam family "Eukaryotic small subunit ribosomal RNA", at positions 514 to 1158 of the family's 1831-position model. Lineage: Eukaryota; Metazoa; Arthropoda; Insecta; Hemiptera; Reduviidae. RNAcentral also lists the same sequence under 1 other name. The record is from RNAcentral.